GACGAACGCUGGCGGCGUGCUUAACACAUGCAAGUCGAACGGUAACAUAAAAGAAGCUUGCUUCUUUUGAUGACGAGUGGCGGACGGGUGAGUAAUAUUUGGGAAACUACCUGAUAGAGGGGGACAACAGUUGGAAACGACUGCUAAUACCGCAUAAAGCCUAAGGGUGAAAGCAGCAAUGCGCUAUCAGAUGUGCCCAAACGGGAUUAGCUAGUAGGUGAGGUAAAGGCUCACCUAGGCGACGAUCUCUAGCUGGUCUGAGAGGAUGAUCAGCCACAUUGGGACUGAGACACGGCCCAGACUCCUACGGGAGGCAGCAGUAGGGAAUAUUGCACAAUGGAGGAAACUCUGAUGCAGCCAUGCCGCGUGUGUGAAGAAGGCCUUCGGGUUGUAAAGCACUUUCGGAGGGGAGGAAAAGAUGACGUUACCCUCAGAAGAAGCACCGGCUAACUCCGUG
This 457-nucleotide ribosomal RNA is filed under the name uncultured bacterium. RNAcentral's name for it is "bacterial SSU rRNA". It matches the Rfam family "Bacterial small subunit ribosomal RNA", at positions 28 to 507 of the family's 1533-position model. The record is from RNAcentral.